UACAGAGGGGGCAAGCGUUGUUCGGAAUUACUGGGCGUAAAGCGCACGUAGGCGGAUUUGUAAGUCAGGGGUGAAAUCCCGGGGCUCAACCUCGGAACUGCCUUUGAUACUGCAAGUCUUGAGUCCGAUAGAGGUGAGUGGAAUUCCUAGUGUAGAGGUGAAAUUCGUAGAUAUUAGGAAGAACACCAGUGGCGAAGGCGGCUCACUGGAUCGGUACUGACGCUGAGGUGCGAAAGCGUGGGGAGCGAACAGG
RNAcentral lists this ribosomal RNA (253 nucleotides) under uncultured bacterium. RNAcentral's name for it is "partial 16S ribosomal RNA". It matches the Rfam family "Bacterial small subunit ribosomal RNA", at positions 524 to 776 of the family's 1533-position model. The record is from RNAcentral.